UGUAGGAACAGGAACUGGUAGCCCAUAGACGUGCGACCUUCAGUCAUGAGCAUACAACGAAACAACAGCAAAAUAACAGCCGAUGUUAACUUGAAUACCAUGCAACUCAAAUAUCAAAACUAUGGCAAGAGUAAAUCAUCCAGCAGGCUACGUUACUGCAUGGCGAGAGUAAUUUACAGAAGUUGGUUUAGAAACGAUGUUUAUACAUGAAGAAGGAUUAUACAUAAAGUGUGUAGACUUUGAUACAGGCUGGUUUUUAAGGCAGUUUGAUAAAAUGGCAGGAUCGUCUUUGUCUGGCUGGAAUUUGAUGCGUCGUAAUGCAAGUGACUUUCCUGUUGAAAUUUUCAAAGUCAGAGUUUUCAAACCACUCAAAACGGUAUAGAUUAAUGCAAGAGAAAGAUUACAAGGUACUUGGGGAAUCUAAGUGAUGAUUUCAAAAACGAUGCGAAGGAUUGCGAAGUCUUUCCAGGAGAUGAAGCUGUUCUAUCAAUGCCAGGUAUUCU
Long non-coding RNA from Dendronephthya gigantea, 503 nucleotides. RefSeq lists it as uncharacterized. The record is from RefSeq and is a predicted model, not a curated record. Lineage: Eukaryota; Metazoa; Cnidaria; Anthozoa; Malacalcyonacea; Nephtheidae. The transcript has 5 exons.